GACGAACGCUGGCGGCGUGCUUAAAAACAUGCAAGUCGAACGGACUUCUCAUGAAGCUUGCGAUUGAGAAGUUAGUGGCGGACGGGUGAGUAACGCGUGGGCAACCUGCCCCUGAGCCCGGGAUAACAGUUCGAAAGGACUGCUAAGACCGGAUAUACUUGCGGUGAAGCAUUUCACUGCAAGGAAAGGGAACGCUCAGGGAUGGGCCCGCGUCCCAUUAGCUAGUUGGUGAGGUAACGGCUCACCAAGGCGACGAUCGGUAGCCGGACUGAGAGGUUGGCCGGCCACAUUGGGACUGAGACACGGCCCAGACUCCUACGGGAGGCAGCAGUGGGGGAUAUUAGUCAAUGGGGGAAACCCUGAACUAGCGACGCCGCGUGAAGGAAGAAGGUCUUCGGAUUGUAAACUUUUGUCUUCAGGGACGAAGCAAGUGACGGUACCUGAGGAGGAAGCCACGGCUAACUACGUG
Molecule: ribosomal RNA, 469 nt
Filed under: uncultured bacterium
Lineage: Bacteria
Description: bacterial SSU rRNA
Rfam family: Bacterial small subunit ribosomal RNA
Source: RNAcentral